GACGAACGCUGGCGGCGUGCUUAACACAUGCAAGUCGAACGGAAAGGCCCUGCUUUUGUGGGGUGCUCGAGUGGCGAACGGGUGAGUAACACGUGAGUAACCUGCCCUUGACUUUGGGAUAACUUCAGGAAACUGGGGCUAAUACCGGAUAGGAGCUCCUGCUGCAUGGUGGGGGUUGGAAAGUUUCGGCGGUUGGGGAUGGACUCGCGGCUUAUCAGCUUGUUGGUGGGGUAGUGGCUUACCAAGGCUUGGACGGGUAGCCGGCCUGAGAGGGUGACCGGCCACAUUGGGACUGAGAUACGGCGCAGACGCCUACGGGAGGCAGCAGUGGGGAAUAUUGCACAAUGGGCGGAAGCCUGAUGCAGAAACGCCGCGUGCGGGAUGACGGCCUUCGGGUUGUAAACCGCUUUCGCCUGUGACGAAGCGUGAGUGACGGUAAUGGGUAAAGAAGCACCGGCUAACUACGUG
This 468-nucleotide ribosomal RNA is filed under the name uncultured bacterium. RNAcentral's name for it is "partial 16S ribosomal RNA". It matches the Rfam family "Bacterial small subunit ribosomal RNA", at positions 28 to 507 of the family's 1533-position model. The record is from RNAcentral.